UUUUCGAGCAGCGCUAUCCGGGACGAACUUGCGUUUUAGUGACGCAUAGUGUGUAUGUAGUAAAAAAUUACAGCAAUAAAUACGAACAAUAAAAUGGAUUCGUUUAAUAUUUUGCACUAAAUACGAACUUGUCUCUACUAUUUGAUAGUAAUAACUUGAAAUUGCGACUUAAACAGCGUAUUUGCUUUUUACGACUUAUUGUUAGCGUUUUAGACCAUACCCGGAAUUAUCGUAAAUACGUGAGAGCAGCGAAUGUCCUUAAGCCGUCAGUAUUUUUACUAAUAAGUCCAAGGCAGCAAAUCGAUGUGUGGAUUUUUUAUUUCUGUUUCUAUCUUUGGAUAAAUGUUAAGUUUUCCUCUUCUCUGGUUUUGACCUGUUUUCUCUGGUUAUGUUCAUUGUAUUUAGGUUGAAUUCUCUUCCCAACUGCUUAUUUUAUCACGUAACGUCGUCGGCUUAAAUUCGUUAUUACUAGCGUUGUUUUGACCCGGAAACUUACGCUCCUCACAGCGAUCCAAUUAAACUACCGUUACAUUUUACUCGCUGCUGGUUAUACCAGUGUAUUUUUGAUAUUUAUCAUUCAGCCAAUGAUACAGUCGCUGGAAGCAAAAUCACUGCUUUUCCUGAUACGCAGAUUUUCAUUGGCCAGUUUGAACUAAAUAUAGACUGAUACGUAAUAAAAUAAGCAGUUGGGUAGA
Molecule: small RNA, 695 nt
Filed under: Spisula solidissima (Atlantic surf clam)
Lineage: Eukaryota; Metazoa; Mollusca; Bivalvia; Venerida; Mactridae
Description: cnRNA131
Source: RNAcentral